GCUGCGACACAGUAGGGAUACAGAUAAUUGUCACUGUGCACAUGCUGCUGGAAAUGUAAAAUUAUUAUCUUUAGAGAGGUUGAGUAGGGUGUUUGAGCACGAAUGUUACGCAGCUCGGGCACGUGGAAUGUGUAGAGCACUCAUCUGUUGGCUGCCUCCCUUCCUCUGCUGGCCCGGCUCGCUGGUUCUGGGCGACACCCAGCUCCGGGAGCAUCCUGCCGGUCACUCAGUGGCGAGGAAAGGACAGCAGGGUCCUGAAGUAAGGAAAAACCCAUUCCAGAAGUGGAAGCCCAGGGGUCUGGAAAGCUGUGUUGCUCACUGCUACCACGGUGAGAGAAGCAACCUAGAAAUGGGAAACAAGAUAGAAAAACAGAAACCAAAAUCCUGAAAUCUCCACUGACAUGGACACUGAGAUCUUGUCCUCUGGAUGACAUAGCCAUCACCCUCAGGCUAACCUGCCAUCUGUGAUGAGAAGACUCCCUGAUGAAGUUCUUCCCAACCAGCUUUCACCUAUGCCUCCCAAAAGGAGAGAUCUCCACUUCUCUCAGAAACGCUAUCUUUUGCAGAAUCAAGUGGCUUUUAAAGUGCGUCUUUCUCUCACCCCUGGCUUGAGUGUGAAUAUGAUUGCCACCAUCUUGGAUCCGAUGGAAGACACAGCACCUUGAGGAAAGUUGAACAAGAGAGAUUGCUGCUACUGUGGAUCUUCAAUGCCAGCUCCUUACUUCUUAUAUUUGGACAGGGACGUGA
Heterocephalus glaber (naked mole-rat) is the source of this 747-nucleotide long non-coding RNA. RefSeq lists it as uncharacterized. Lineage: Eukaryota; Metazoa; Chordata; Mammalia; Rodentia; Bathyergidae. The record is from RefSeq and is a predicted model, not a curated record.